Molecule: ribosomal RNA, 426 nt
Filed under: uncultured prokaryote
Description: bacterial SSU rRNA
Rfam family: Bacterial small subunit ribosomal RNA
Source: RNAcentral
UGGGGAAUUUUCCGCAAUGGGCGCAAGCCUGACGGAGCAACGCCGCGUGAGGGAGGAAUGUCUGUGGAUUGUAAACCUCUUUUCUCUGGGAAGAAGAUCUGACGGUACCAGAGGAAUCAGCAUCGGCUAACUCCGUGCCAGCAGCCGCGGUAAGACGGAGGAUGCAAGCGUUAUCCGGAAUUAUUGGGCGUAAAGCGUCCGUAGGCGGUUAAUUAAGUCAGUUGUUAAAGACUGCAGCUCAACUGUGGAGGAGCAACUGAAACUGAUUGACUAGAGUAUGGUAGGGGUAGAGGGAAUUCCUAGUGUAGCGGUGAAAUGCGUAGAUAUUAGGAAGAACACCAGUGGCGAAGGCGCUCUACUGGGCCAAGACUGACGCUGAUGGACGAAAGCUAGGGGAGCGAAAGGGAUUAGAUACCCCCGUAGUCC